AGAGUGAACGCUGGCGGUAGGCCUAACACAUGCAAGUCGAACGGCAGCACGGUAAGAGCUUGCUCUUAUGGGUGGCGAGUGGCGGACGGGUGAGGAAUACAUCGGAUUCUACCUUUUGGUGGGGGAUAACGUAGGGAAACUUACGCUAAUACCGCAUACGCCCUUCGGGGGAAAGCCGGGGACCAGCAAUGGCCUGGCGCUGAUAGAUGAGCCGAUGUCGGAUUAGCUAGUUGGUGAGGUAAUGGCUCACCAAGGCGACGAUCCGUAGCUGGUCUGAGAGGAUGAUCAGCCACACUGGAACUGAGACACGGUCCAGACUCCGACGGGAGCAGCAGUGGGAAUGU
Molecule: ribosomal RNA, 344 nt
Filed under: uncultured soil bacterium
Lineage: Bacteria
Description: bacterial SSU rRNA
Rfam family: Bacterial small subunit ribosomal RNA
Source: RNAcentral